CGACGGGUGAGUAAUACAUCGGAACGUGUCUUCUAGUGGGGGAUAACUGCCCGAAAGGGCAGCUAAUACCGCAUGAGACCUGAGGGUGAAAGCGGGGGAUCGCAAAACCUCGCGCUGGAAGAGCGGCCGAUGUCCGAUUAGCUAGUUGGUGAGGUAAAGGCUCACCAAGGCGACGAUCGGUAGCUGGUCUGAGAGGACGACCAGCCACACUGGGACUGAGACACGGCCCAG
This 231-nucleotide ribosomal RNA is filed under the name uncultured bacterium. RNAcentral describes it as "partial 16S ribosomal RNA". It matches the Rfam family "Bacterial small subunit ribosomal RNA", at positions 102 to 334 of the family's 1533-position model. The record is from RNAcentral.